CAGCUCAGCAGGUACAGCUAGAAAUCAGGAUCCUGUAAAGACUCCCAGGUGGGAGACUAUGACUCAGAGGGUGAAAUGACCUGGAUGAAGUCUGUCAGCAGCAGACCUGAGAGCCAAACCUCCAAAUUUCAGCUCAGCAGCUGCCUGUUCUUUAGACCUUUGUAUUGUGAAAAGAUGUGGUUACCUUGGGGAGUAUGAUGAGUGCAGGUCAGAAUUUGAACUGCAGGUCCAGAAAGCAUGUAGCAGGUCACCCAGAUAACAGAAUGGUGACUGGUAGGAGAGGCGAUUUCUGGGGCUGUGCCAUAAACAUGGCCUUGGAGCACCCCCAGUCCUUGGAGCACCUCUUGACUGAUAGCAGGCUUAAUUAGAACCAUUAAUUACAUCUGUGGUUCUGAUCUGUUGCUAAUAACUCUGGUGACAGAUUUCAUGAACAAGUCUGGCAUUUAAGUUUGUUCUGCACUUUUGGCAAUUUUUUGGUCUACUGUUUCUCUGAAAUGGCUCUACCUGAUUCACUUACCCCACACCACCUUUGCCCUCCUGCAUACACUUAACCUUUCCUUCCUAGUAAGCAGUAGUGUAAAAAUGUCUUGGCUGAAAUGUUCACAGAGCACUAGGAGUUGAGCCUCCCAGACCAUGUAUGUUGGCCACAGCGUCACAGCUGGUGGAGGACACAUCUGAGGUUGAAGACUGACUCUUUGGAAAGAGGCACAGAGUGUUGUUUCCCAAAAGCAGGACAUGGAUAGUGGGGAUGUUUGGCUAGCCCCUUGUAAGACUCAUGUUUUGAUAUCUACUACUGAGUCCUGCCUGAGACAUACUGUCCAUCAGAUACCCUGCCAGUUCCCACAUUCUCCCACCCUCUUGUCUGAUCUUCUUCCCUUGUUUAAUCACCUUAAGCUUAUUGUCAAUGAAAAUUCUAAAUUAAUGAAACAAUAAAAGUACCAUAAAAGUUAAGAGAAAUUAAGAAUUCAGAAUAACUGGGAAAAGGCUCACCUAAGGCAAAUAGUGAACAGGAGCAGACCUGUGCCCUAGGACCUGUGUAUCUAACACUGUUCAGGAAAGGGCUGGAGGUGUUGGGAAGGCUAGCAGGGAAGGCAGUUUGCAAAGUUCUCUGGUUGGAGUGUUCAUCUUUGGGAUGGACAUUUACAGCAAAACCAAGUAAAAGUGCAAAAGGUGGGGACUUCUUCUAUAUUCAACAGUCUGGCUUUUUUGCUGCUAGUACACGUUACACCAUUUUGGUAGAUGCUACCUUCCACUCCUUUUAAGAGAUAUAAAUAUCCCUCUUUUCAACUGCACUUGGCAACCAUCAUGAUCUACUGGGAAUUAGCUUUCUGAAAAGUAAGCUUUUUGUGGUGUUGGGGUGUUGGGGUUUUUGUAAGCUUGGGGUGUUGGUGCAGACAGCCUGAGGCAGGCCGAGUUGGUGACAGGAUCUGUACCCAACUACCCAGAGGAUGGACUUUUCCCUAUGUCUCAGAGGCUGGGCUACCUCAGCUCACUGCCACCGUAGGGUAAGCUUGUCCUACCUGAGCAUGGCAGUUCUCAGGCACCUAAACAAUGCCCAAGUAAUGCCAAGUGUCAUUUGAAAUAUGAUCCGUUAUGUAUAUACGUGUGUUAAGCUAUGCAUUUUCUUAUAUGUAUUUCUACAUCUAUGUAUACAUCUACUUACGCAUUUUUCAUUCACAUACUUACGUAGGUAGGAGAUAUGGCCGAUGAAAAGAAGCAGUGUACCACUAGAUGGGGCUGCAGGAGGAAAAAGAUGAAUGUGGGAUGGAUUAUAGGCAAUUCAUCAUGAUCAAGCUGAGUUGUGUGUUUAGUAUCCUGGCUGUGUGGAAUCUUUAUUGAAAAAGAUCAGCCAUAAUAGUAGCUUGCAGCACCUGUAAUCUCACCACGGGAAGGGAAGCAAGCAUGAUUUCAAGCCAAAAUGCACAGUAUUUUACCAGGAAGAAAAACAUUGUAUCUCUUCAAUUGUAAACUCUGGGUGAAUGUGCUUAUACAUUCAGAGCAUAAGGCAGAUGGUAACAAACCACAUGCUUGUGGAUUAUCCCACUUUUUCCACAUUUGCAUUCUCAAAACCACUUUUGGUGCCCGUGGUUUAACCUCUGUUUCCCUAACUCCUGUUUAUGAGUUGAGUGGUCACAUGUCAUCAUGUUGAGUGGGAAAGUGUGUACAGGGGAUAAGGAGGUGGAAGUGAUUCCAUAUGGUGAAACAACUGACUAUGCCAGAGUAUUAAAACAAAACAAAACAAAACAAACAAACAAACAAACAAACAAAAAAAACAGAAAGAGGAAAAAGCAAAAGUAAAAUCUUUUGAAGAGAUGGGGAAAUGAAAUGCUGAAAAAAUCUGAAAUGCUUUUGACUUCAUAUGAAGGAACAGUCAUAUGCAUGUGAAAGGGAAACUUAUGACUUGGAAUGCUGAUGAUAUAAGUUUUGGUGUUUGCAGCAAGGGCGAAGGUUAGACAGAUUUACCUUCCUCUGCUCUGCACAAGAUUCAUGCUGAAGGCUGAGAUUUCAGUCAGGAGACACUAGGCCCCUGGAAGACUGUGAAACUGCCAACUGUAUUUUUUCUUCUAAUUUUAAGCUGCUAACUAGAAUAAAAAAAAAACAACAACACAAAACAACAAAAAUUCCUUUAAAGCAUUUUCUACAGUUCUGUUCACAAUAGUAUUAUGAAGUAAGUGGGGCAAUGUUAAGUAUGUACUUGCACUUUGUUGAGACAAUUCAUUAGCAAAGCCAGUUCUUACGCUUCAGGGAAAGGCGAACAAAACACAGCAGAUGUCCUUUAUUCAAAGUGGGUAACAGGGGUCAAAUUUUUUUAUACUACUAGAUAAGACAGGAAUUAUCACAAAAAUAUGGAAUAAACAAUGUUUUUAUUUUUUUUAUUAUUUUUUUUUUUAUCCCAGGUUCGAAU
This is a non-coding RNA of Anas platyrhynchos (mallard), 2905 nucleotides long. The record is from RefSeq and is a predicted model, not a curated record. NCBI's taxonomy places the organism in Eukaryota, Metazoa, Chordata, Aves, Anseriformes, Anatidae.